AAGCGAAACCGUCCCGACUUGCUGGGGCGGUCUGCCGGACGUGGUUGUCCGGUACUGAUGAGCAGCCACCC
Molecule: non-coding RNA, 71 nt
Filed under: Pseudomonas brenneri
Lineage: Bacteria; Pseudomonadati; Pseudomonadota; Gammaproteobacteria; Pseudomonadales; Pseudomonadaceae
Also listed under: 2 other names
Source: RNAcentral